Long non-coding RNA from Cyprinus carpio carpio, 876 nucleotides. Lineage: Eukaryota; Metazoa; Chordata; Actinopteri; Cypriniformes; Cyprinidae. The record is from Ensembl.
CACGAGGAAUGAAAAACAAACAAAAGUCCAUGUGGUGGUGACAAACAGUACUGCAGCCAGACAUGAUCAUUGCUUUGUGAGCCCAGCUGAGUGGUCAGCUGUAGGGGCUUUAUAGGAUGGUCACUUUGUAAAGAUUUCAGUUGGCUGGGGAUCACGGGGAAGCAAAAAGAACAGCCAUCAAAUCCAUAUGUGAAGCUGCAGAAAAAAAUAAAAUACAAUAGGUGGCUUUAGAUCAAGAGGGCUGAUCCAUGUGCAGCUGUAUACUGGGGCGCAGACUGAGGCCUGAUCAACCCUGGCUGGGUCACCUGGAAGAGGGUAUUUGAUGUUGAAAGACCCGACACACCAGAGGACCCCAGGGAACAUCAUUGAUGAUGCAUCCCAGUGCAACAGGACGAUUUCCUUUUAGAAGUACAGCAACAUCCAAAACCUUGUUUAGGAAGGCAACAAAUCACAUACGAAUUCUAAUUCAAGAGUACAUGCCUGGCAUUUCUUAUAUAAUGGGUUUCUACCAGAAAUAUCAGAAAAAACCCAGAACGCCAAGCAGCUGUCACUGUUGUGGCAUCCUCACCAGAAACCUUUGUCUCUGAAUUCCAGAGGCUGGUGUUGCAGAGCAUUUCUGGAAAGACCAAACUGACAACAAAGAAAAAUUGAUCAUCAAAUGUUCUGAAUUGUUUGCAUUCAAAGAUAUAUACUAAAAUCAGUACUUUUGAAUUAUACUCCAAUGAAUAAAGUGUGCAUCAAGAAUUCAUAGUGACAUUAAUUCAUUAUGUUCAGAAUGAUAUUCAUAUUUCAACCUAGAGAUUGUUAGAUUUACAUGUAGAGCAUCUGCAACACCUCCUUCAUAUUCAGAAUGUCAAAGGAUUGGCACAUCAAUUG